GUGCUUGAAUAAAAAUCCUCAUUCUAGUCUUCCAAUAGGUAUAAUUUGUCCCAUUGAAGAGUGGAGGUCUAUUGGUUGCCUGCCCCUCAGCAGGAAUAUUAUUGAAGGGUGUUGCCAUCUAGAUCUUUGGCUAAGACGGUUAGUUCUUCAAGAAAUACACAGAGCACCUGCUCUGAUACCACUUGUUGCCCAGAGAUGGUCACCCAAGAGGGGGGUGAAUUGGGUGUUUUAAAACUUUUUGACUAAUUAAAACAAACACACACAAGUGUAUGUGCUAAAGUAAAGUUAAAGCUAUACGCACAGUCAAUCGCAAACACAACAAUUUAUAGUGGUUCGGAGCUUCCACUGCUCCUACAUCCACUCCCCAAAUACCUUUGGGAAUUUCACUAUAAUCUGCGAUUACAGUCCGGUAGUUUUGCGAGUGCACUACCCAACUCGUUGUUUUACACCGG
RNAcentral lists this long non-coding RNA (452 nucleotides) under Phoenix dactylifera (date palm). RNAcentral describes it as "long non-coding RNA (PDAC_LNC017879)". Lineage: Eukaryota; Viridiplantae; Streptophyta; Magnoliopsida; Arecales; Arecaceae. The record is from RNAcentral.